GAAACAUAUAGAACGCCCAGCAUUAUUGUUGUCUAAGGGAUGGCAACAAGCACAAAAGUCUGCUUGUGUGAAACCAAGAGAUUUGUAUGAGAGCUAUUUACCCAGCUGAUGUCACCUGCUACAAAGGACAAACGAACAAAAAGUGACUGCACAUCUCAAGCAUCUGAUAAACAUAAGGAGGGUGACAGUGAGGAAAGGAAGAGAGAGAAACAACAGAAAGUAAAUAAAAUGGAGUCUUUGGCCAAAGAACUGGAUGAACUGUUAAAACAAGAUGGACAGGGUUUUAUAACUUCAGUUACUGGCUUUUACUGCCAGAAAUGUGAGGAGUUCAUUGGAGAUUUGAAGUCUGCUGAAAACCAUGCAGCUAUCCGCCAUCAUAGUAAUUCUAUUCCAAAAGAACAGACGGACAGGCACUCUAAAGACAGCAAAGGACACCCUCAUCAUUACAGUGCCUCCAGUAAUCGACACCCUGCCCCCCCAGACAGGAGAGAUCACAGGGGUUAUGGUUACCACGGGGAUUCAGGAAACCACCGGAAUAGGACAGACCAUCUACGGAAUUGGAAGGAUGAGAAAGAUUUCAGAAGCCAAUACCAUGAUGAUGACCACAAAAGUCACAAGGAUAGAGAUGAAAACAUCUUCUUGAAAGAGGAAAUGAAAAAGGAGCAAAUGUUUAUAACAGUCUCCGAUGGACUGACACCUUCAACUUCUAACAUCAGGGUCAAGGAGGAGGUGGACAAGGAGAAGGCCACUGGAAGCCAUGGUAAAGUUAAAGCGAAAGACCUAGAAUCAUCCAAGGAGAAAAAAGGCAGCAUUGAAAAUGAUAAAUACAGUGAUAGCACUGAUGAUGACGGAAAAUCACCUAAAACAAAAAAGAAUAAAAAGAAAAAGAAGAAGAAGGAGAAAAAGAAUAAGAAACAGAAGGAAGAUAAGUCUUAGGUGUUAUAUUGUCCUUGUCAUAUAACUCUGGGAUCAUGGUGUAGCAGCUUAUUUCUGGACUGAUUUUCUAACAUAGUUUUCUCACUUUCUUUUCCUCCACCCAAUUGUUUUUUGUUACUGUCAUUAUGAAGGAAUAGACUGAUAUGUUAGGAAGCACGUUUGUUGGUGGUCGUUCUCUAAAAGUAGUUUAGUAUUACUUUUAUCUUUGUGUAUCUAGGACAGUGGUCUUUACCUCACUUAGAACUAAGAUUGACUUUUCUCAGUUAAUUUAGGUAUUUUUUCCCACUUCAGACAGCGUGUGUGCUCGGUCAAAUGAAUUCUCAUGUGGAAUGAAAUGUUCUCAUGUGUUCCUCAGUAAACAGGCAAACAAAAACCUUUUCCAAAACGUCUGUUCCCUUUACACAUUCUGCACAGUUUUCAGCAGUACUGUAUUAAUGUCUGCCACGUUUCAGGUAUGGCAUCACAUCUUGGUUCUAUCUUUUAAUUAAAUGUUCGAGAAAAUAAGCAGUAAGUACUUUUUUCAUUUCAUUGGACCAACAGCAUUGUAGUUUUAGAAAAGUUAUACAUGUAUCUGACAUCUUGUAUUCAUUAUGAUCUCAAAUAAAGUAAAAUAAACAAAUGUGUACUAUUCCUUAGUUUUUUGGGUUUUCUUUUUUGAUUUUAAAGUCAACUUUAUACUGUGUUUGAGUGGCAAAAAAGGGUCACUAAUGUCCCUACAGCACUUCAGCAUCAGAACUGUAAGCCUUUCCCACCCCAGUAUUGCAUCCUUUUCUUGCUUCCUUCCCCACACAUUCAGUUCCUUGGUAAUUUAACUGCUCAUUGGAUCGGAACUAUG
Molecule: long non-coding RNA, 1771 nt
Organism: Oreochromis aureus
Lineage: Eukaryota; Metazoa; Chordata; Actinopteri; Cichliformes; Cichlidae
Source: Ensembl